UACGGAGGGUGCAAGCGUUAAUCGGAAUUACUGGGCGUAAAGGGUGCGUAGGUGGUUUGGUAAGUUAUCUGUAAAAUCCCCGGGCUCAACCUGGGCAGGUCAGAUAAUACUGCUGAACUCGAGUAUGGGAGAGGGUAGUGGAAUUUCCGGUGUAGCGGUGAAAUGCGUAGAGAUCGGAAGGAACACCAGUGGCGAAGGCGGCUACCUGGCCUAAUACUGACACUGAGGCACGAAAGCGUGGGGAGCAAACAGG
RNAcentral lists this ribosomal RNA (253 nucleotides) under uncultured bacterium. Its description in RNAcentral is "partial 16S ribosomal RNA". It matches the Rfam family "Bacterial small subunit ribosomal RNA", at positions 524 to 776 of the family's 1533-position model. The record is from RNAcentral.